AUUUAUUCCUCCUUUAUUUCACAUUAAAGCAUGAAUUAAAUGGAAUUAAUUAUUGGAGUAGAAUGUUGGGGUAUCCAAUGUUCUAUUCACACCCUUUUAUAUAGUACUCUUUCUACUGUUCAUGACAUGAACAUUGCAAAGAGAAACAUUGAAGGACAUAUUUUUUCUAUCUAUUUGUAAGGACUGAGAUUUUUGACUGUGCAACUAAACUCUCGGUUGAUGAUGUUUAUGUGUGUAAUUUAAUUACAUAAGCACUCGUCAAGUUUCGGGAGAAACUGAGCUAAAACGGAGAAGUUACGCAAUUAUUAGUUUUCACUUAAAGUGAAUAGUAACUCCGGUUUUCCGGAGAAGCCACAGAGUAGAGUUGGCUUUCGGCGCGUAUCGGACUCCGAGCAUAGGACUCCAAUAGCUCAUUUCGACCGGUUCAGCUGUUCUGGGACUAAUGGCGCUGACGGAUUUUGAGUUUGAUGCACGGAUUUCGAGAAAAUCCAAUAAAACGUGUUUUAUAUGUAAUUGUGCGUGAUAUUUGGCCUUUUGGACAGAGAGUGGAUUUCGUCGCAAAUCCGCGACCGUUUGAGGUGAAACGAAAUCGUAGCUUUGUUGUCUCCGAGGUGCUGAUCGUACUGGUGCAAUCCGUUCGCAAAUCCGACGGACGGAUCUGCGGAGAUCGCACGUUGAUCGAGGAGAGGUCGGUGAGGGCAAAUUGGUAUUUUUGCGAAAGUCGCGAUAUUUUAUGUACCGUUUUGUGUGAGAUCGCACGUGGAGGGGUAUUCACGCAUUUUACUCAGGCUGGGAUGGAUUUAGCUUGAAAUAGUAAGUCUAGGUGGACUUUCUU
RNAcentral lists this long non-coding RNA (835 nucleotides) under Ananas comosus (pineapple). RNAcentral describes it as "long non-coding RNA (ACOM_LNC022177)". The record is from RNAcentral. Lineage: Eukaryota; Viridiplantae; Streptophyta; Magnoliopsida; Poales; Bromeliaceae.